GUAUUUUGAAGUCUUCCUGUACAGUUCCUACCCACCCCCUCUGAAGUUCUAUGUUCAGUGGAGAAUUCAGCACCUGACACUUCACACUUGCUGCCUGUUUCUAUAAUCCUGAGAAAUUGUGGCUUAGCAGAACUCAACGCUAGUAAGAGCUUAUCUGUAUUCUGCGGAACAUCCCACUACAGAACCAUGAAGAAGGAUGCUGAUAAAUGACUCCAUGAAUAGACAAGCAAAGAUAAUUGACUUUUAGCCAGCAUUGUUAUAAAUGAUGGCCAAAACUGAAUUUUAACCAGCAUUGUUGUAUAUUCUUUCAAAGUAGUUGGUAGUAUUGUUUUUCAUAGUGGUGUUUAUUCCUUUCCCCCACUAUAUUUCAAAGGCAUGUAUAAUCAGUUUUAUUUUUGUAUAUUGUUGCUUACCAUCUUGACCCGAAACACUUGCCCACAUAUGGCCAUGUAUUUUAUUUAUUUAUUUUUAAGAUUAAGAAUCAGUCAUCUCUGUUUUCUUCAAAAAAACUAAUGACCAGUUAACAUCUGUCUUUCUACAGAGAAGAGCCAGGCUUAACUGAAAUGUGUGUGUUUGUUUUUAAGUAAAUGCAAAAGAACAAUAUGUUUUGCAAAAGACAGAUACAUUUUGUUAUGGUUCAUUAUUUUCUUCCUUCUUACUAACAAUAAUAAAAUCUGUUUUCAGCCUGUAUA
Sceloporus undulatus (fence lizard) is the source of this 692-nucleotide long non-coding RNA. RefSeq lists it as uncharacterized. The transcript has 2 exons. Lineage: Eukaryota; Metazoa; Chordata; Lepidosauria; Squamata; Phrynosomatidae. The record is from RefSeq and is a predicted model, not a curated record.